UAUAAUAGGGACUGGAGAGUUUCCAAUUUUAAUUAUCUGUCUUAUUUAAUUUUUUUAUGAUUACUAUUUUAUUUGUUAUCAGAUGAUAAAAUAUGAAUAGUAUUUUAUGCGUGACUUAUGUUUUUUUUAUUUUUUUAAAUAAGAUGAACUAUUAAAGUUGGACAUGGAAACUUAUGGUUGCGCUUAAA
Molecule: non-coding RNA, 188 nt
Organism: Oryza nivara
Lineage: Eukaryota; Viridiplantae; Streptophyta; Magnoliopsida; Poales; Poaceae
Source: Rfam